RNAcentral lists this RNase P RNA (350 nucleotides) under Mobilisporobacter senegalensis. RNAcentral describes it as "Bacterial RNase P class A". It matches the Rfam family "Bacterial RNase P class A". From Rfam's summary of the family: Ribonuclease P (RNase P) is a ubiquitous endoribonuclease, found in archaea, bacteria and eukarya as well as chloroplasts and mitochondria. Its best characterised activity is the generation of mature 5'-ends of tRNAs by cleaving the 5'-leader elements of precursor-tRNAs. Cellular RNase Ps are ribonucleoproteins. The record is from Rfam by way of RNAcentral. Lineage: Bacteria; Bacillati; Bacillota; Clostridia; Lachnospirales; Lachnospiraceae.
UGAGUAGCACAGAUGGUCGCGCCUAUAAGUACCGAAAGGUCAUAGGUGAGGAAAGUCCGAGCUUCAUAGGGCAGGGUGCCGGAUAACGUCCGGUGGAGGCGACUCCAAGGCUAGUGCAAUAGAAAUAUACCGCCAGUUAUACUGGUAAGGGUGGAAUGGUGGAGUAAGAGCCCACCGCCUUCUUGGUAACAAGAAGGGCAUAUGUAAACCCCACUCCGAAGCAAGACCGAAUUUAAAGCGAUACGGCUGCCCGUCGUGCUUUAGGGUAGGUCGCUAGAGCCUAAUGGCAACAUUAGGACCAGAUAGAUGAUCAUCUAAUACAGAACUCGGCUUAUAGUGUUGCUCAUAUU